CUCAGGCUGAAGCCGAGUACUUUAUAUUAUCUCACAAUAAUCGGACUUCGACACACUCGACCCCAGCUCAGUAACUUUUACCUACUCUUAGUUAUUUGAUCUCUCUCUACGGGUUGCCUUAUAACAUACAUAAAGAGUUCCUAAACAUGCUAGGAAAGACUUUAUAUUUCAUUAAGAAGAGUAAAUAUGUACAAACAUUUACAUUUGAACUAGAAAAAAAGAUCUUUACUCAAACUUUAAACAAACCGAAAAUAAGUGGUCGCAAAGUUGAAUAACGUUUAUUCUUUAAAAACACAUAUUAAUGAUAUUUUUUAAAGAUCAUUAUAUGAAUGUUCGUUCGUGAAUUGCAGUUAACGCCUGAUAAGAAACUUUAAUCUCUAAUUAAAAGUUGCUUGAAAGCAAAACGCUGCUCGAUAAGCACGCAAAAUGACUGACUGGAAGGCCGGGCAGAAAAAAUUACAGUUCGAAAAAAUGUUACUUCUAUAAUGGUCUUUUGUUCUAGCGUACUCUGCAUCGGUGCGUACUUGAACCGGGAACCUUUUGCAUCAGAGACAGACCUUACCAAUUGGUCUAUCACACAACAGGAGGUCAUUGCAGAUGAAAUAGGACGCGUAAUCCAAGCUGUUGCCCUUCAUUGUGGGAUUUCACCGACAGGAAGCAAUACCACAACAGGGGCAAAUCCGCAGAAUAGUUGAAGUGUUGGAGGAGAUCCACUAGAGAAUCCCAGUGGGAAGGAACAUGCCGAGUGGGACUUCGCUCUCUACAAGAACAUCCUGCCGGGGGUGGCCUCUCAAAGAAAAACCAUCAGUAAUAUGAUCUCCGAUGACCUCUCCAUUAGGACUCCGUACACCAUCAGAUACUUGGCAGCUUAGGCGGAGUUGAAGGACCCGCUGACUUCUAUAGAGAGGAGGAAAAUAAAGCGCCCGCAGUUGGUGAAGCCAUAGCCAGCCACUGCCAGGAUUGUGGCCGACUUCCUGCAGCAUCAGCGGAUCAACCCCGUUCCCAAUCCGGGUCCCACUUUCCCAAGGUCCAAUAUGCCUAUUGGAACUCGGAGCUGGACUGUGGUAGCGCGGGAAAGAUGGGGAAGCAUCCGUGGGACGAGAAGGAAGCUUUA
Drosophila suzukii is the source of this 1114-nucleotide long non-coding RNA. RefSeq lists it as uncharacterized. Lineage: Eukaryota; Metazoa; Arthropoda; Insecta; Diptera; Drosophilidae. The record is from RefSeq and is a predicted model, not a curated record.